GCUCGGGUGGCGGAAUUGGCAUACGCGCUGGACUUAGAAUCCAGAUUUUGAGAGUUCGAGUCUCUCCCCGAGUACCA
Molecule: transfer RNA, 77 nt
Filed under: Vibrio phage vB_ValS_X1
Lineage: Duplodnaviria; Heunggongvirae; Uroviricota; Caudoviricetes; Demerecviridae
Description: tRNA-Leu
Rfam family: tRNA
About the family: Transfer RNA (tRNA) molecules are approximately 80 nucleotides in length. Their secondary structure includes four short double-helical elements and three loops (D, anti-codon, and T loops).
Source: RNAcentral